RNAcentral lists this ribosomal RNA (492 nucleotides) under uncultured bacterium. RNAcentral describes it as "partial 16S ribosomal RNA". It matches the Rfam family "Bacterial small subunit ribosomal RNA", at positions 29 to 507 of the family's 1533-position model. The record is from RNAcentral.
AGUGAACGCUGGCGGUAGGCCUAACACAUGCAAGUCGAACGGCAGCACAGUAAGAGCUUGCUCUUACGGGUGGCGAGUGGCGGACGGGUGAGGAAUACAUCGGAAUCUACUUUUUCGUGGGGGAUAACGUAGGGAAACUUGCGCUAAUACCGCAUACGACCUACGGGUGAAAGCAGGGGAUCUUCGGACCUUGCGCGAUUGAAUGAGCCGAUGUCGGAUUAGCUAGUUGGCGGGGUAAAGGCCCACCAAGGCGACGAUCCGUAGCUGGUCUGAGAGGAUGACCAGCCACACUGGAACUGAGACACGGUCCAGACUCCUACGGGAGGCAGCAGUGGGGAAUAUUGGACAAUGGGCGCAAGCCUGAUCCAGCCAUACCGCGUGGGUGAAGAAGGCCUUCGGGUUGUAAAGCCCUUUUGUUGGGAAAGAAAAGCAGCAGGUUAAUACCCCGCUGUUCUGACGGUACCCAAAGAAUAAGCACCGGCUAACUUCGUG